UGCGGAUUGGUGUAAUAGCAACAUACUUGGCUCAUGACCAGGCGAUAGGGGUGCAAAUCCUCUGUCCGCAU
This 71-nucleotide transfer RNA is filed under the name Plenodomus lingam JN3. RNAcentral describes it as "Leptosphaeria maculans JN3 tRNA". It matches the Rfam family "tRNA". From Rfam's summary of the family: Transfer RNA (tRNA) molecules are approximately 80 nucleotides in length. Their secondary structure includes four short double-helical elements and three loops (D, anti-codon, and T loops). Lineage: Eukaryota; Fungi; Ascomycota; Dothideomycetes; Pleosporales; Leptosphaeriaceae. The record is from Rfam by way of RNAcentral.